AAUAUGGGACAAUGGGGGCAACCCUGAUCCAGCCAUGCCGCGUGUGUGAAGAAGGUCUUCGGUUUGUAAAGCACUUUAAGUUGGGAGGAAGGGCUUUAGGUUAAUACCCUGAAGUUUUGACGUUACCAACAGAAUAAGCAACGGCUAACUCUGUUACAGCAUCCGCGGUAACACAGAGGGGGCAAGCGUUAUUCGGGAUUACUGGGCGUAAAGCGCGGGUAGGUGGUUCAGUAAGAUGGGUGUGAAAUCACCGGGCUUAACCUGGGAACUGCUUUCAUAACUGCUGAGCUAGAGUACGGUAGAGGGUAGUGGAAUUUCCUGUGUAGCGGUGAAAUGCGUAGAUAUAGGAAGGAACACCAGUGGCGAAGGCGGCUACCUGGACUGAUACUGACACUGAGGUGCGAAAGCGUGGGGAGCAAAC
This 421-nucleotide ribosomal RNA is filed under the name uncultured bacterium. Its description in RNAcentral is "partial 16S ribosomal RNA". It matches the Rfam family "Bacterial small subunit ribosomal RNA", at positions 360 to 773 of the family's 1533-position model. The record is from RNAcentral.